AGAGGCUGGCACUGUCGCGUUGAAACGCUCACAUUUAGACGUCACCUGGCAGUGUGUGUGUGUGUGUUUUACAACGUUGUGUGUUUGUGUAACAGGUCAAGGCUGUCUUCGGUGCGGUCAAAGCUGAGUCAUAUUUCCUGGAGAACUUUGGUGGAUGCUGGCAGUUUCACUUUUGUCUGGAAAGAGGAAGGAGAGUAGCUCAGACGUGAGCGAGGAAUGAAGUGCUGGGUGGUGUCUGUCCAUUGUCAAGACAAGCAUGAGAAGAAAGGACUUUUGUGACUUGUUUUGCUGGACCAUGCUGCGUCUUCCUGCUGGACAUCCCGUAUGAUGGCCCAGGAGUAUGUGAUGAAACAAAGGACUGAGAUACUGCGCGCCGUGUGCAGCAGCGGCUCGGCCGAGCAUCUGGAGAGGGUUCUAGAUGUCCUCCUGGCCCACGGGGAGCUCUCAUGGGAGGAAUACCAGUGCAUCCAAGUCCAGGGAAGACCACUUUACACCAAUGCCAGACACCUGCUGGAUAUUGUCUACACAAAGGGAUUGGCGACCUGUGAGAUUUUUGUCGCUGCUCUCCAACAGGUCCUUCCUGAAGGUCAAGGGGCAGGACUGUGCUUCCCCGGAGAUAUCUCAAAAGUAGAAGAACGCAAAGAAGCUGGAAGAACAUCCACUGAGACUCUUCUUAGUCAAAGACCAAGCCUGGUUGGCAAGCUGCAAGGCUGUGUUGGUGGUGCUUUAGAAGCCCUGCUUCAAUUAGGACACUUCACGUCGGGGGACUGCGAUGAAAUACGGCUGCCUAUCCACACCCCCACUCAGCAGGCGAGACGUUUGCUCGAUCAUGUCAGCUCCAAAGGUGAGUCGGCGGCCAACGUCGUGCUUCAGUACGUUGACCAGAAGCAGCAAUAUGGCGGGUGUAACCUGGCAGAGGAGAAACUGACCCCACCCGCAGAGUUCCUCAAAUACCAGAAGAAGCUCCGCAGUUCCGUGUCGGCCCAGUCCAGUUUCCUCAGCACUUACGGGGGCACCAGCCACAUGCCACUGGAGGACAUCUACACCCAAGGCCAGCUGGAGCUGGCACACGACUGCAAGGUUCAGGGAGAUUUGGGUCUGGGGGACAUUGUCGGUACGGCGGGCACCGUGAACGAGGAGGCGGACACGGUUCUGGUAUCCGGGGACGCGGGCAGCGGGAAGAGCACCUUACUCCAAAGGAUGCACCUACUUUGGGCUCGGGGCACCGCCCUGUCGGAGUUCCUCCUCCUGUUCCCUUUCAGCUGCCGAAAGCUGAAUUUCGAGCUCAAGGAGCUAUCUGUUCAAGACCUGCUCUUUCAGCACUGCUGCUGGCCCGAUCGGGAGCAGGAGGAGAUCUUCCGCUUCAUCUUGGACCACCCGCAUGUGGUCAUCUUCACAUUCGACGGUCUGGAUGAGCUAAAGCAGAGCUUUUCUGAAGAGCACAGGCUCUGCUGCCCUACCCAGCCUGCGCCCGUUCACGUCCUGUUGUUCAACCUCCUUCAGGGUUCCCUCAUGAAGGGGGUGCGAAAGGUGGUAACAAGUCGCCCGGAAGCUAUAGGUCCGAUACUGAAGAAACAUCUCUGCAAAGAAAUCUUCCUCAAAGGCUUUUCCCCAAACGGCAUUGACUGUUUUGUCAAGAAGCAACACCAUGAUGCAGAGGUGGCUGCUAAGGUUCUGGCUUCCAUUCAGGCAAACACGGCUUUGCUCGGACUUUGCCACAGUCCGGUCCUCUGCUGGAUCGUCUCACAGUGCCACAAGGAGCUGCUGGGCUGCGGAGACGGAACGCCCCAAACGAUAACAGAUGUCUACUUAAUGAUCUUGCAGCACUUCCUGCAGCACCAAAGCUCCCUUAAGACCUCUAAGGUGUCAGGUUGGCUUCAGGAGCAUCUCACUACUGUGUUGCAUCUGGGCCAGCUUGCCUUCCAGGGUGUUGGGGCAUCCUGCUACAUCUUCUCCGGCACAGACCUGGACACCUGCGGUGUCACGGAAAAGGAUAUCUGCACAGGAUUCCUCAUCCAAAGCAAAGAUAUGUCCAACCACCAGAGUCAUCAGUACGAGUUCCGUCACGUGACGAUGCAGUGUUUUUUCGCCGCGCUGUACAUUGUGUUAUCCAACAACACUGACCGCUCUACCGUCACUAAGCUCUUUGAGUUGCACGACAUGAGGGAGACUUGCUUCAGCAGCACCUGCUUCACAUCCUGCCUGGCCACAGGCCAACAACAGACUUCGGCUGAGACGCCAAAUCUUCAAAUCACAGCCACUUUCGUGUCCGGCCUCCUCUCUCAGAGACACAGACGACUGUGGUCCGUCUGCUCCCAGACACCACUGGUGGACAGAAAAGUGCAACAAGUGGUGAAAUGUCUUUCCAAAGGCAUGCAGAGGCACUUCAAGUCCAUCCCCCCGCCAGUGGAGGGGGAGAAGAAGAGCAUGCACGCCAUGCCGGGCUUUGUCUGGCUCAUUAAAUGCAUCUAUGAAAUGCAGGAGAGCAAGAUGGCCAAAGAGGUUUUGAGCAAGCUGGAGGUGGACCACCUGAAGUUGACCUACUGCAACAUCGGACCCGUAGAGUGCACGGCUCUGGCCUACGUGCUUCAGCAUCUGAGGAAUCCUGUGGGCAUCCAGCUGGACAACAACUCUGUAGGCGACGUGGGUGUGGAGCAGCUCCUUCCCUGCCUGCAUAUUUGUAAUUCUCUCUACCUCAGAAAUAAUAACAUCACAGAUGAGGGCAUUCGCAAACUGAUUGCAAAGGGACUCCAGUGUGACAGAUUCGAGAAAAUUGCGCUCUUCAACAACAAGCUAACCGACGCUUGUAUGCAACACUUUUCUCACCUUUUGAGGACCAAGCAGAAUUUCCUUUCUUUGAGGCUUGGCAACAAUAACAUCACGUCGGAGGGAGCGAAACAGCUGGCGAGGGGGCUGCAAUCCAACCACUCACUGAAGUUUUUAGGGCUUUGGGGCAAUCAUAUUGGUGAUGCAGGUGCAGAGGCCAUUGCCGGCGCCCUAGAGGGCAGCAAAACUCUAACAUGGCUCAGGUAACAUAUCCAGCCCUUAAUGCGAACUGGUCGUUUAUGAACAUAUUGCACAACACAGCAGCAACAGAACCAAUGUUGUAAUUGUGGACCAAUCGGAAUUCAAGUGUAUUACACAGGUUAGAUGCAAUAUAAACACAAAUCUAACAUCAUAGCUCGUACUUAAAUUGGAUCGCGUUCAAAUUUUGCGUGUUUCCAGCAGUAGUUGAGAUUCCAAAUAUGGUAACUGUAGGGUAAUAUUGUUUUUUUUAACUUGUGAGCUGAGUAGAUGGACAUUUAUUGCAAGUAGAUUAUAGAAAACACAUAAGAUAAAGUACAUUCACAUAAGCAGCUAACUGAACUGAUAUACCCAUAGCCAGGUACCCGUAGUAAGUAGGACCAAAUUAGGAUGUUCUGUAUGUGCCUGUCCUGUUUUGUUCAGAAAAAUUGCUGAAGGAAGACGACGUCAGAAAAAACACGACUCUCAGCUGUUAGUGACACACACGCACUCACAAGGAAUGUUCCAGAUAAGGUAUUUUGGCACAAGAUCAUGCGUCAGUCGCCUGGGAGCGUCAGCGCGCGGGGCGCCAAAGUCUCUCUUCUUCUGGUCAGGAGGCCGCAGGAGGACAUAGGAAGACACAUUUUUUAGCCCGGGAUCCUGUAAUGUGAUUCUAUUCUGUCUGACGUAUUUACAAUACAUUUUGUUAACCUUCUACUGGUGUAUAAGUCGUAUUCCUUCUCAUAAUUGGAGAGUAACAAACACCUUGGUGAAGAAUGGCGUGGGAAGUGCUGGAGCGUGUGCCCUGGCUAAAAUGAUCAAGAGUGACACGUCGCUGGAGGAGCUCUGGUUGACAGAAAACUGCAUCACCAGACAAGGAGUGGAGUGUUUGGUUCAAGCCCUGGAAC
RNA transcript from Dunckerocampus dactyliophorus (ringed pipefish), 3911 nucleotides. It is a transcript of the gene named nucleotide-binding oligomerization domain containing 2, with no coding region annotated. The record is from RefSeq and is a predicted model, not a curated record. The transcript has 9 exons. Lineage: Eukaryota; Metazoa; Chordata; Actinopteri; Syngnathiformes; Syngnathidae.